RNAcentral lists this ribosomal RNA (446 nucleotides) under uncultured bacterium. RNAcentral's name for it is "partial 16S ribosomal RNA". It matches the Rfam family "Bacterial small subunit ribosomal RNA", at positions 331 to 792 of the family's 1533-position model. The record is from RNAcentral.
CCAGACUCCUACGGGAGGCAGCAGUGGGGGAUAUUGCACAAUGGGGGAAACCCUGAUGCAGCGACGCCGCGUGGGCGAAGAAGUAUUUCGGUAUGUAAAGCCCUAUCAGCAGGGAAGAAGAAAUGACGGUACCUGAGUAAGAAGCACCGGCUAAAUACGUGCCAGCAGCCGCGGUAAUACGUAUGGUGCAAGCGUUAUCCGGAUUUACUGGGUGUAAAGCGCUCGUAGGCGGUAUGUCAAGUCAAGGGUGAAAUCCCCGCGCUCAACGUGGGAACUGCCUUUGAAACUGGCAAACUGGAGUGUGUGAGAGGAUAGUGGAAUUCCAGGUGUAGGAGUGAAAUCCGUAGAUAUCUGGAGGAACAUCAGUGGCGAAGGCGACUAUCUGGCACAUAACUGACGCUGAGGAGCGAAAGCGUGGGUAGCAAACAGGAUUAGAUACCCCAGUA